This is a small nucleolar RNA of Chanos chanos (milkfish), 177 nucleotides long. RefSeq annotates it as small nucleolar RNA SNORA81. The transcript has a single exon. The record is from RefSeq and is a predicted model, not a curated record. NCBI's taxonomy places the organism in Eukaryota, Metazoa, Chordata, Actinopteri, Gonorynchiformes, Chanidae.
UCUUCCACACAAAAGAACUGUGCUAAAAUUGCAGAAUCCUUUUUGGUUUCCGCAAUAGUGCUAGCAGAGUAACAUGUGGAAGGAGAGAAAGCACUCGCCCUGUACCGCAAAUGAAAUUUGGUCGGACCUCUUUCUUAAUGUCCCUUGGCUUAAGUUUCAAGGUCCAGCGCAACAUUC